AUGAUAAUUAUCCCCACGUAAGCAGCGAGUCUGUCUGUAGAUAAGGCACAGAAAACGAAGAAAGAUAAGAGAGAUAGGGAUGGCGUAUGGAUGUUGCUGCCGUUGGAAACCCUUGGGCAUGGAUUGCUGGUUAUCUUCGUCCUCAGCCUCAAAUUGGAAGAAGCGUCUUGGGCCUGUGCUCGUUUCUGUGUCUUCUCGCUCCGAUGAUAUCUCUCCCACUAGCAAUAGCACUAUCACUAGUAGCAGCGGAAGAAGAGAAGAAGACAUAAAAGGAUCAGGAACUACCGCCAGAGGUCGCAGAUUGCUUAGAAUUCGUGAAGAGAAACAGCAGCGGGAAUACGAUCGCCUUAACAAUUACCCUGCUUGGGCAAAAGUCCUGGAAAAUGCUUGCAAAGAUGAUGCUGAACUUCGAGCCGUUCUUGGAGAUAGUGUUGGCAACCCUGAACUCAUGAGAAAACGGGUGGAAGAUAGGGUUCGAAAGAAGGGUAGAGACUUUCAUAAGUCCAAAACAGGAUCUGUGCUUGCUUUCAAAGUCAGCUUUAGAGACUUCAAUCCAGUUGAUUCAUUUAUCUGGUUUGAAUUGUUCGGAUCACCAUCUGAUCAGGAUGUUAAUCUAAUUGGUAAUGUUAUUCAAUCAUGGUAUGUCAUGGGUCGCCUUGGUGCCUUCAAUUCUUCAAAUUUGCAGCUGGCAAAUUCAUCAAUGGAGUAUGAUCCUUUAUACGAUGCAGAUAAGGGUUUCAAAGUGAUGCCGUCAUCUUUCCAUGAUAUCAGUGACAUUGAGUUCCAGGAAAACUGGGGACGUGUAUGGGUGGACUUGGGUACAUCUGAUUAUUUUGCAGUUGAUGUCCUUCUCAACUGCCUAACUGUCUUAAGCUCAGAAUAUCUUGGUAUCCAACAAAUUGUUUUUGGUGGUCGCCGCAUGGGUGAUUGGGAAGAGGGGAUGACAAACCCUGAGUACGGUUACAAAUUCUUCAAGAUAUAAACUGGGACUGUUCGCAGUUGAUUUCAUUCCUCGUAUUGUACUUCAAUUUAGUUCAGAAAGAGUGUAACAUUAUGCAUACGAAAAGAUGAAAUGGAAGCAUCUUCAAGCGGUAUUCGACAUAUUAUGCACAACAUAACAAUGGUCUACAGCUAAAAUUAAUUUGACAUAAUUUAGCCAGAAUGUCAAAAUUCUAGAGCAAUUGUUAGAUACGUCGAAUCCCAGGAAUUAUUCAUUUAUACAAGAGCUAGUGGGAACCUCCUAAAAUUUCAGCAUUUCCAAAAUAACAAAAGUUGUAGUAAUAACAAUAACGAGUUGUUAUUUCAAACUUUGAAAUUUUGCUUAACUCUUCUGGAAAACUCCAGCUUUUCCAAAGUACUAUUAGUAGGAAUAUACUUAUAGAAAUUUUAG
Molecule: RNA transcript, 1390 nt
Organism: Abrus precatorius (Indian licorice)
Lineage: Eukaryota; Viridiplantae; Streptophyta; Magnoliopsida; Fabales; Fabaceae
Exons: 10
Source: RefSeq, a predicted model, not a curated record